RNAcentral lists this transfer RNA (36 nucleotides) under Epiperipatus biolleyi. Its description in RNAcentral is "tRNA-Thr". Lineage: Eukaryota; Metazoa; Onychophora; Udeonychophora; Euonychophora; Peripatidae. The record is from RNAcentral.
UUCAAAUAAAUUUUUAAUAUUGAUUUUGUAAAUCAA